This 404-nucleotide ribosomal RNA is filed under the name Fusobacteriota bacterium. RNAcentral describes it as "Fusobacteria bacterium partial 16S ribosomal RNA". It matches the Rfam family "Bacterial small subunit ribosomal RNA", at positions 355 to 776 of the family's 1533-position model. Lineage: Bacteria; Fusobacteriati; Fusobacteriota. The record is from RNAcentral.
UGGGGAAUAUUGCACAAUGGAGGGAACUCUGAUGCAGCGACGCCGCGUGAGUGAUGAAGGAAUUCGUUUCGUAAAACUCUGUUCUAUGGGAAGAAAAGGACUGUACCAUAGGAGAAAGCUCCGGCUAAAUACGUGCCAGCAGCCGCGGUAAUACGUAUGGAGCGAGCGUUGUCCGGAAUUAUUGGGCGUAAAGGGUGCGCAGGCGGCUUUACAAGUUGGAUGUGAAAUAUUGUGGCUCAACCACAAACGUGCAUCCAAAACUGCAAAGCUUGAGUUAAGGAGAGGUAAGUGGAAUUCCUGGUGUAGCGGUGGAAUGCGUAGAUAUCAGGAGGAAUACCGGUGGCGAAGGCGACUUUCUGGACUUAAACUGACGCUCAGGCACGAAAGCGUGGGGAGCAAACAGG